RNAcentral lists this ribosomal RNA (626 nucleotides) under Portunus pelagicus (sand crab). RNAcentral's name for it is "partial small subunit ribosomal RNA". Lineage: Eukaryota; Metazoa; Arthropoda; Malacostraca; Decapoda; Portunidae. The record is from RNAcentral.
UUUUUGUCCCCCCCCCCGUGCGGUUAUACUCUAAGGUUAAGUAAAGGUAAGUCGGUUGAUUGUUAGGUGGACUGUUUGUUAAAUUGAUGUUAUGAAAGCCUAAAAGAAUAAAAAAGUGAAAUUAGAGUAUCUUUGGAGGUCUUUAAUAAGAUUAAUAUAAGCUGAAGCAAAAAAAUAUUGGAGUUAAACUAGGAUUAGAUACCCUAUUAUACCAAGAAGWWAKUAUWWAUACCUGAGUAGUAACAGCUAUGUUCUAAAAAUUUGAAAAAUUUGGCGGUGGUUUAGUCUUGUCAGAGGAACCUGUCUUUUAAACGAUACACCACGAAAUAUCUUACUUGAGUUUGUAUAGUAUGUAUACCAUCAUUAUUAGGUAAUUUUUAUAGAAUAAAUUACUGGAAAGUUUCGAUAAUGUUGAAUAUAUUAGAUCAAGGUGCAGCUGAUACUCAAGUUAAGGUGGGUUACAAUAGUAUUUACGCUAUUACGGAUAAGUAAAUGAAACUUUACUUUGAAGGAGGAUUUGAUUGUAAAUUUAGUUUAAUAAGCUAAUUUGAUAUAAGCUCUAAAGCAUGUACAUAUCGCCCGUCGCUUUMMUUACUAAGAUGAGAUAAGCAUAAAAAGUGGGACUU